CCGGGACACUGGGGGAGCCUUUCCUGGAGGCCGAACCUCAUGGCGGGCUGCGGCUGCUCGGGGUCGUGGCGGGAAGGCCCCUCAGGGCCGCGUCCCCUCAGACCCACCGGGGCUGCUCCGCCCGCCCGUCCCGCCGGGAAUCCCUCGAGGCUCCAUGCCCUGGGAGCCCCUCCAGUGCCGAGCUGGGUCCCUCCAAGCGGCCAGCACUGAGGGACCGCUCCAGUUCAACGCCGAUGUGUGUCCAGCCCUGAGGGCCGAGCGGUGCCAGGCACGGUGAGGGCAGGCAGAGACCCCCGAGGCACCCCAGGAAAGGCACCUGGGUGCUGGCACUGGCAGUGACUCACUGCCUGUUCUCCGCUGAUUUAUUGCUUGGCUAAGAACCGACAGCUCUGCUCAUCAUCUGCUCACCCACCCAAGGUGAGCUGCAAUGAGAAUAACUAGAAUUUCUCAUUUUAAUCGCAGAGAUGUGGUGGCCCCAGGCUUCCACGUGGCAUUCUUUGCUACCAUGGAAUGCAGAGCAUCACAACAGCUGGGUAUGUUUGGCUCUGGAAGGGAAUCACAACUGCUGGAUUAUGUUUGGUCCCAAUGCACAAGUCAGGGGAGUGACACUGAAUUUUGGACUCAGGUCCAAAUCUACCACCAUUCAACACUAAAAAAACACGUUUCUUUUCUGGCAGAAAUUAGCAGUGUGCUCUAUCUUAAGUAAGUUUGUUUUUAAGAAAUAAAAUUUUCCUCUAAUUUCUUUUUUUUUUUUUUUUAAAUACCACUUGUGAGAAUAGCCCCAAAAUCCUAAGGAUAUGUUCGGGUGUAACAAAACUGUUUAAUUCAACUAAGAAAAAAACCCAAAACCACAAUUCGAGUAGGGCUUUUCAUUUUCCCCUGCUCGGUUGUGUCACUAGAUGGCCUUCCAGACCCAAUACAAACACAACUGCACUCGGGCAAGGAGGAUCCUGCUUUGUGCACAGGGCAAACAAAACGCUAGAAAAGGAUAUUUCUGCAAAAGAUCAGAAGAAGGACCUGUAAUACCCAAAAAAGUGUCAUAUAGCUCAAAUUAUAAUAAUAAAAAAGCGAUCAAACUCACACCUAUUUCAAAUUCACCAUUUUAUUGAGGAAGAAGUUGAUGCAAGCAUGUAGAAACUGUCAAAAAGUGUUUCACAAGCCACAGUCUUAUAAAUCUUAUCUGGAACACAGGAAAAGCCAUCAGCUCCUGUCCACUGUAAUGGCUGAGAGCAUUUCAGUGACACAGGAAUGGAUGGGCCAGGAAAGAAUUUGUUUCAUCCUGAAAUGAUUUAUUUGAACCUGGCUCAAACCCAGUAUCACACUAUAUAUGAUACAAUCAGCAGGUACAGUUAGCAGUCUUCCUGUAACUGAAGAAUUCAGGGGUUUUUUUGCAAGUCAAUUACUGCCACAACGGGGAUUUUUGGGGGGGAUAAAAAUAUUAUGUGGUUAAUUAUUAAUUUGUGAGGGGUUGAUUUUUCCUUUUGUUUUUGGGCUUUUUCCAAGUCUCGCCAAACAAUCUUUACAUUUCUCAUAGCUUUGUCCUCUUGUACAUUUUAUACUUAUGGAAACUUUUAGAUUUGUACACCUUUAGAUUUGGGAUGAAACAACAUAAAAUGAGCAGAUUACAAAUACAACUGUAAACACUCCAAAGACUGUUUUUAAGUAAUUAAUGUUCUACUUGUAAUGAGUCUACUUUGUAUGGAUGAAGUACAACAUUUCAGUGUCUCAGGUACUUAAUUUUAAUUAACAGCUAUGCAGUGCUUCAGGCAUAUCAUUUGGGUUUGAGCUAAAACUGAGCCUAUUUUGCUGACUCAAAAAAAAUGCAAAAUCUGAAAUGGAAUGGUGCCACUGAUUUAAAUGGAAGAAGAUUCAACCUUCUAUUAGUGAAAUUCAAAUCUAAUCAUUACAAUAAUUGUAAGCGUCCUUCUCUAGUUCUGUUUUGGCCUGUAUAUUGAUUUUGGUACAAGUUCUUUCAUCAAAAGCUUACACAUCUGCAGCUCAGGGGUCAAUGUGUGUGUGGAGAGUCCCAGUGAGCACAACAAAACCAGGGCAUUAGUGGGGUAUGGAAAAUAUCCGUGCUCCAAUCUUUAGUGCCAAUUUGUUGCUUCAUGAUCACCAAUGAAAAAGUUAGGAAGGAGUGAAAGGUUAUUGUGCUGCUUAGGAAAUCUGCUGGGAGUUUGUGAUUUUUAUACUGGAUGGUAUUGAUGGGUAAUUCAGGUUAGUUAUAAAAACACCCCUAAAAAGACUCACAGAUUAGGUUCAAUAUUGUUUGCACACACCAUCUGCUGCAUAGCCAUAUUGUUAGUUUAUUUGGUAACACAAACUGGACAAGAAUGGGGACCUGUUCUUCCUUAUUGUCUUCAGAACUAUGUUUUUGAAAUUCACUUAAUUGUUUUCUUCAUAACACAGACCCCAGUUUACAAAGACUUCAGCAUAACAAUAACUAACCCCAUUUAUGUCCAAGGAAAUAUUAAUAAACUUAGUUAACAAAGUGCAUAAGAAGACAGAGCCUUAAAUAUUUAUUUUUAACAUUACCAGUGACAUUAAUUUUUUGUGUUUUCUACUAUUAAUUCUAACUACAGCAUGUACUGAGCAAGAGGAAUGCCUUGAAAAAAAUCACAAUAGGAAAGACAAAGCCUAAGGAAUGGAAUUUACCAAGUAAGUCAAGUGAAUCUCUGAUAAAUUUCAGAUGUUGCACAAGGCCAACAAUUGCUUGUCAUGUGCACACAGACUCUUACUGAGGGAGAGUCUCUGCCCCAUGGAAUUUAGUAUGGAUAGGGCACAGAAGGAAGGGGGAAUUAUGAUAUGGGAGAGCUGAACUGUCCCUGCACACAACACAAAGUUCUGGUGACAGAAUCAUUGUGAGAGGAGAAGCCUAUGACAAAGCAGGUGUAUGCUACUCAAGUGAUUCCUCCUGCUUACAGAACAAAUGAAGAAAAUUGUUUUUCAGUUGUGCUUUUGCUCACAGUACCAACACUGCUCUGACCCUCACUAAACCGUCCACACAAUUUCCAAAAUCAAAGCUCCCCAAUGUCCUUGACUUUCAGCUGUUUCUCAGUCUCCAUUUCUGCAGUGUUUCUCGCUGUUCCUCUCGCACAUGCAGAGCUCAACCAUCUGGUCCUCAUGGCCUGAUAUUUUACACACAUGCCCCCACCCCAAAAAUCCCUUGGGCUACAUGAUUCACCAUCUAUUCAAACCUUGCCAUGUGCCUGUUUUUUUUGUGUAGUAGCUCCUACUGAUGUAAAUCCCUUGUUCCAUAAGGGCUCUCAAUUGCCUUUUUCACUGAAAGCAAGGUGGCUGUGACACCUGCCAGUCUCUGAGACAUUUAACCCAACCUAAAACAUUAUUACAUUGUUGUUUGGCUGAGUAGAAACCAUAUUUUUUUCCCAGUGGGAUGUGCUGCCAUAAUGGCAUUAACUUUCUAGACUAUUAAGUAAUAUGGAAAAAUUAUAUUUCAAUAAGAAAAUUUCCUUUCUGCCUUUUCAUGCCUUAGAAAUAGUUCCUGUUUCACUUGGCUCAAGUAGUGCCUGCACUAAAUCAGUGCAGAAAUCUUUGGAUAAACUCUACGUAAAAUCUGUCCAAAUGCUACCAGGGAGUUCAGAGGGUUAGGAAAGAAAACAGGACAAGGGUCUGCAAGGGGAGGUGUGAGACAAAUUAAGACACACAACUCAGCAAAAUCAGGCAGAGAAUAUUCAGGUACUCUGAUGUAGUUUGGACAAACUUUAUUCAUAAACCACACACUCAUGACUACCUGGUGAGCAGCUAUUUAUAGGAAACACAAACUGUUUCUUGGUUAUUUUCUCUGGUACUCUUAAAUCAGGGGUGCCACAAUAUGGCCUACCUGAUAAAUGCAUGGCCAUCGUGUUGUGUUUUGAAUUUCACCUUUCAUUAGAAACUGAGUUCUUGGCUUUGCAGUUGUGGGGGAAAACCACCCCAUUUUACAAAUCUGAAGUAAAUCAACAUGGUAAAAUGUCAUCCUGAUAGAGUAGGUGCUUAGAGGCAGUUUCAAGUUUCUGUUGCUUACUAAAGCAUGAACUCUCAAGCCAAAUUCUGUUGUGGAAUAUGGGUAACACAAGGUUAGGAUCAUCCUAUGCUUUUCUGGAACAUCAAACACAAUGAGUAAUCUCUGAAAAGUAUGAAAUGAACAGGCAAGUGUCUGCCAACACCUCCACAGCUCUGCCCCCGUGGAUCCUGGGAUGUGUGUCUCCCAGAUGUGCUGGCAUGGCUUCCCUGAGCCAUGGGCAGGAAUUUGUCACCACAGGCUGGCAGAGCUAUCACAGCACGCCUCGUUUCAGGUGAGAUCUGCAGUUGUGUUUGCCUUGAGAGCUGGGCUUGGUUUUGCCAUGGGAACAGGCAGAAGCAGUGGGUUCAGGAGUGAGGCACAGCCUUGCUCAUGGCUGACAGAGAUCAGGGCUCUGCUACAGAUCUGCAUGAAAUUACUCACCAUCAGAUGUUCUUCUGCAUCCAGAUCUGCAGCAGAGAACACAUCUCAUCAGGAAGUAAUUUGGGGAAAUUUAGGGAAAAAGGCUACAAAUAGCUUUGCUUGCAACAAGAUCCGUUCUUAGCCAGUAUCCAACCAAUCCCUUUAGUAUAACUUCUAAAAUCCCUCUGGCUUAGGCCUUCCUGUGUUUUCAUUACCCAAAACUCCACCUAACCCAGCAAGCACAGAUAUUUAUUUUUUUUUCAAAAUUGGAGCGCUCUCUGCAGUAUCUGCUUCCUUCAGAUCACUUUUCCCUUCUCUCGUUCCCAAAUUAUGUAAUUCCUUGUGGAUAGGGAUAUUUUCUUUUAAUGUACUUGCUGGUUCAGAUACAAGGGAAGACUGAAUCCAAGAGGAGUGUGUGUUAAUUAAGAUGACCACAGCACCAGGGCAGGAGUUGCAUUCAGCUGCUUUAGUUUACACAGGAGGGAUUAACAUGGAGUGGGUGAGUCAACUGUGGAUUGCCAAAUCUGGGUUACACUCCCCAAAAUUCUGUUGGAAGAUUCCUCUAAACCUGAAGUAUGUGGAGUUGUACUUAUUUUGUGAAGUAGAGAACAUCAAGUUUAAUUGAACCCAGGCUUCCUAAAUAUGCUUUUCACUAUGUGAGCUACAGUGCAGCCUGACCAGUGUGUGUUUUACAGAGUCAUGAGUCAGGCUUUGAUCAACACCUCAUUCCUUCACUCUUGCAUCUGGCCCAGGCAGGAAGCUCUCAAACCUUAUGGACAAGCAUGUGGGGAAACUGGGAAUAUUCAUAGGGGAGAAUAAAAGCUGGUGAAGUAGGCUAUGAGAAUGGACUGUGGAUGAAAUAGUGCCAUGUUUUUGCUGAGUAAUGGAUAGCACUGACAUUAAAGGGCAGUUAACAUGAAGUUUGCAUCCUCCCCUCUGGUAUCUGUGCAAACUUCCCACAGGAAGGCAGCAAUGGCAGACUGAAGAGAUGAUAAAAUGCCCUGUUUAUAUGGGGGACACCACAAUUUCUGUCUGUUUUUUGUGGAGUGCUGGAUGUAUGGGUAGAGCUAAGUGGGAAGUACUUGCUCUGUCAUAGUCUGGCUGGCAAGAUGCUCAUUCAUAGAGGUGGAGGUUUGGCAGGAGCCAGAGGAGCUUGUGGCUUGUCAGAGCAUGGCCAGGCAAAGCACAGGCCCAGACUGAAAUUUUCUCAGACCUGAGAGCAGCCAUAACCCAGCCAGAGCAAACUCUGAGAGGAACAGUGAUGCUCAGAGCAGGUUAAUUAAUAACUUGAGGCACUGGAAAUAAAACCAGGUUGUAAUUGAGCGAUAUUUGCUUUAGAGCUGUGAUUCUUGGCCUGUGCCUGGUUUGUGGGAGCUGGUUGGGCUGACAGUGCAGAGUGACCUGGCUGGAUGUCCUUACUGAGAGUCACCAGAGAGGCUCAGGAAGGUGUUCAAGCAGUGGUGUGGGUGUAGUGAGGGCAGGCACAGAGAGCAGCAAGCUGACAGUGCUGGGUCUGGCACGCUGCCCUGCCCUGCUCCACACCUCUGUCUUUGAUGGCACAUUUCCUGUGUUUCACCCUUCCUACAUACAUCUCACCCUUCCUGAUAACAACAGGCACAUUGUCAAGUUCCUCAUUGCUUACUGGGAUUAAUGUAGUAGCUCUGAGUUCUUAAAGUGGGGAGAUUUCCUGGUUAAAACUGUUCUAAUUAAACUUGUAUCUCUCAUAAGGCUAAAAAUGCCCCUGUGUGAAUGGCAGCUGGAUCUGCUUGCAAAAUGUCAGUGCCUCAAGACCUUUAAUGGUCUUGGGAGUCUAACAAUAGUACAGACAGUGCCUGUUCAAAGAUAAGGGCUCCAGGCAAAUGGAAGAAGGAAGCAAAUACAGCCUCCCCAUGAAAUCAGACAUCUUAGACAAAAAUUUUCUAAGUACAGAACACAUCUGGCUGUGUAUUUCUUAAGUACUUUAUUGGCUUGAAUUACACACACAGCACCCACAGCAAAUAUUUUCUACUCUGAGUGGGCACCUCCAUUCUCCUUUUAGGACUCAGUUUUGGACCUGGGAAAAAGUGUUCUCAGUCGAAAGGCCUCCAAGCAAGCCUGGGCUGGUCACAGUGGAGCAACAGCUGCACGAGCUUAAAUUCCUCUCCCCACCCUGCUGUACAAGCCAUGCUCCUCAGUCCUGUGCAUGGAGGAAUGUCCAGCUUUCCUGCUUCCCUGCCAGCUCCACUGGCAUUUCCUAUUCCACAGGCAAUUGCACGUUAGUUGCCGACACCAUGAAGUGCUUUUUCAUGUGGGCAGUGGUGGUGGAACUAAGGAUCCCUUCUGGUCAGAACGCCCUGCAGAUGUUCGUGACACUUUUUUCACUCCCCUUUAUGCAACACGUCAGGCGCUUGUGAUAAUUUACUGCCACAGGAACCACUUCCUGCACGCUGCUAACUGCAAGUCCUUCCGGACUGCUGGCAGGCACUGCCCAGGGAAAGGAGAAGACAAUGUGCAGGGAAAGGUGUCAGGAAGCAAAGAGAACCCUGUCCUGCAUCAGCAGCUCCCAGGAGAGAGGCAGGCAGAAAUGCAGCAAUGGCUAUGUGGGUUUAAUGGAAACUAACUUCAGUUAGAAACUAGCAGUGGCCUUUCCCUCUUGAAGGUUAAAACAACUAAAAUAUCUGGAAGACGUAUUUUAAUUUAAAACUUACCUUAAAAAAGAGAAAAAUAAAAGUUAAAGCAAGUCCAAAAAUAACUCAGAAAGUAGACAAAGAUAAGAACAGAGCCUGCAGAAGUCAAGUCUGAACAAAAGGCAUGGGCUGUGAAAGGAGAAAACCACAAAUGGCAGGGGUCGAAAUGUAAAACCUACAGUUCACCGUGAAACAUGAAGGAUGCUGUUGUAUUCCACACCUCCUCUUCCUGGGUGUAGCUGUCUCCACAAGGUGAAGGGCAGUAAUGAAUCAAGCUCCUUCCCUCUUCCUGUAUUUUCUAUUCAAUUAUUUGCAGGCUGUGCAAGAUCUGCUUUACUUUCCCUCUCCAUAUGCCACACUCUCCUCCUGUUUUUUAGUUUUUUUUCUAAUUCUGAACUGUGCCUUUGGCCUCUCUCCCAUUCCUUUCUCCUCGGUGUGUGCCCCCUGCUCUGCCAGGAUCUGCUGUCUUUGUAACCUCUGCUGUGCACAUAUGCUGGCUCUUCCCUCCCCUCCUGCCACCCCCUGCUCCACCAAGUGUCCCUUCUCCUCGCUCCAGCGUUUUUGCCAGCGGCUCUGUGAGCUAGCCAGGAAUGGAACGAUUUUGCCACGGCCACUGCUCCUGUUUCCAUGCUCCUCUCCAGCGACCAAGGGGAAGCUGUGCUGCUCCCCUCGUACAGCACAGGCACACACAGCCCUGCAGCUGUGUAGCAACUGGGAGCUGCUGGAGUGCAGCAGCACAGGGAGCCAUGGGCAGCACAGCCUUCACCGACCCGGCACCUUCGGGCCCACUCGGCUGCAACCCAGGGCUCGAGGGACCAGCUGGGGCACUCCUCGCUGUCCUGUCAAACAAUAAAUCAAGAUGCAAAUCCUUAACUGUACGAUUGAGAGAAGUGGUGGCAAUGUCAAGGGCAAAACAAAGCCCUGGUCUCGUGUCACAUCGCACCAGUGGGAAGACACUGCUCUGAUUUGUAAGCUGAACUCAUUUGAUCUUUGUCAUCGGUUUCUGGCUGCAACAUUUUAUACUCCAUCACUUUUAAUCAGAAUGUUCCUUGUAUCUGCUACAUGUGUUAAAAUGGCUCCCAGGUCCCCGGCUACUAUCAUAUCUAGGCUGUUUAAUGAAGUGUCCAGAGACACAAGUAAUUUAAUGCAUAAAUAUUCUUUUAGAUUAUUUGGAUCUUCAUUUCCUUUUCAUGCAAGCUUUGUAAGUGCCCGGCCUUUAAAUGGUACAUUCUUUUCAUUCUUUCUCUUUUAUUUUUGUGAAACUGUACUGUUCAGGGGCCAUGAAGCACUGAACUGUUUUGUAAUUCGAUGGCUUUAGAAUGCUGAUUAGAAUUGCCAACAGUCUUGAUUUAUUUCGUGAUUUUUAUAAGCUUGAAAGCAUUCUAAAAAAUAACCACUUCUACAUCCUGAUAGGAUCACAGCAUUUCAAUGGCAGCUGCAUUUCAAUAGGCAAGAAGCAACACAAAACAUUCUGCAAGUCAGGUGUUGAAACAGUUUCUUUAUUCCUUUAUAGCUCAAGAAAGAUUAGAUCUCUGAAAGCACUCACUCCCUACCUUACAGAGGUGGCUUUGUCAUAAUACUUUCAGAAAUAAUAUGAUCACAUACAGUUUAAAAAGUAACAACCACCCCCAGGUCUGGAAAAUAGCCAACACAUCCAUCAAAAUUUGUCUGGAUUUUAAACACAGUAAAUGUUUGUUCCACUGUUGGGUGUCACCAUGCAUCUCUGCACCCCGGCAGCCAAACAACACAGCCUAGUGAUUCCCUGUCAUUGUUCAAGGCUCACAUCCCCAUGCAUCCUCAGAGCAUGCUGGGACACAGGUGAAAUCUUGUCAGCAGGUUGCUUAUUUCGGCUGACAAUUCCCUAGACAGAUCAUCUGCUGUUCUUAGGAAGGAAUAAAAAAUUUCAUGGCAAGAAAAUAUGAACAGGCAAAUACCCUGUCCAUAUUCCUACUCAAUAGUCCUUUGAUAUUCUUAGCCUGGUUUCCUAAAAAUAAAACCAUCUAAUGCGACUGUGUUCUUCUCUGUAAUCUCCCCCCUCAUUCCUCCAAUGUCAAUCAAAUUUGGCGGCGGGGAAGAAGUCCCUAAUGUAUUUAGGUCUUGAAUGAACAGCUGGAUACAGAGUAUGUGGUGAGGCAUCACAUCUAAAAAAACCUCAUCUAACAGGAAGGUCUCAAAAUGUACUUUGUAACCACCCUGCCCCAGACACACUCAUCUUUCUUUUAUUGGUCCUGCAACCACCUGUUUUGUGCUCUGCAUUAUUUAAUGGCUACAUAAUAGACACCAGGGCAGGCAAGUGUUGCAGUCUGCCUCUGGCUCCCUUCCAGCUCCUAAACCGGGCUUUCUUCCCAUGCAACUGGGGUGUGGCAAGGGAUGGUGUGGAACCAGACCUCCUCCUGACACAAUAUUGACACUGCUGAGGUGUGUGUACACACACCCGGAACCAGGAAACACAGUGCUGACAGGUUGUUUAUCUGGAAGAAAACUAAAAUCAUAACCAAGUUUGUAGGUGGCACGAAGCAGUAUCACGAGGGAGUAUCAAAUAAAAAUAAUAAUUUAAAAAGGCCAUUGCAAGCAACAACGCUGUCUAAGAGUUCUCAAGAUGACCAGAGUAAAGCCAUACAUGCAGAACAAAGAGCACAAUCCUACAAUGCAGGGUGGUCAUUCUUAGAAGGAUCAGAUCCGAGAGUAUUUUAGCAGCCCUGCUGGGAAACCAGCUGAACAUGGGCUGGAGUAAUCCUGGAUGCCUGACAGACACAUCUGAGCCAGGAGGGCUGUUGGCUCAGGCAUGGUCACUGCCGAGGGCUCUGUCCCCUUCUGCCCAGAUCAAAAUGGUGACAAACUGGAGCAGGAACAAUUACAGGAUUAGUAAAGAUGGACCCGAGGGGGAGCUCUGCAGCCUGCAAUGGAGUGUUUAAAUGCUCAGCUUGCACACAGCUACGAGGGGAUGUAAAUCUGGUCAUGGAGCAUUCUUCUGCCAAGGAGACUGAGGGACAGACACAUCCAGAAA
This is a non-coding RNA of Cyanistes caeruleus (blue tit), 10096 nucleotides long. The record is from RefSeq and is a predicted model, not a curated record. Lineage: Eukaryota; Metazoa; Chordata; Aves; Passeriformes; Paridae.